RNAcentral lists this transfer-messenger RNA (118 nucleotides) under Bacteroidales bacterium. RNAcentral's name for it is "partial transfer-messenger RNA". It matches the Rfam family "transfer-messenger RNA", at positions 252 to 374 of the family's 374-position model. Rfam says of the family: Bacterial tmRNA, also known as 10Sa RNA or SsrA, is named for its dual tRNA and mRNA-like properties. Lineage: Bacteria; Pseudomonadati; Bacteroidota; Bacteroidia; Bacteroidales. The record is from RNAcentral.
AGCCUUGGGUAGCCUGUCUGACGGCAGCCCCUGGUCGAAAACCAAAGUCAGACUAAGCGUGUAGAAAGCUGUCUGGUGCGGUGUUUGGACGGCGGUUCGAGUCCGCCCAUCUCCACAA